CAUGCAAGUCGAACGGAAACCUUCGGGUUUUAGUGGCGAACGGGCGAGUAACACGUAAGCAACCUACCCUAAAGACGAGGAUAACCAUUGGAAACAGUGGCUAAGACUGGAUAGGAAGAUAAAAGGCAUCUUGUAUCUUUUAAAAGACCUAGUUAAUAGGUAUGCUUUAGGAGGGGCUUGCGCCAUAUUAGUUAGUUGGUAGGGUAAUGGCCUACCAAGACGAUGAUGUGUAGCUGGACUGAGAGGUUGAACAGCCACAUUGGGACUGAGACACGGCCCAAACUCCUACGGGAGGCAGCAGUAGGGAAUUUUCGGCAAUGGAGGAAACUCUGACCGAGCAACGCCGCGUGAAUGACGAAGUACUUCGGUAUGUAAAGUUCUUUUAUCGAGGAAGAAAAGCAAAUGGCGAACCAUUUGUUUGCCGGUACUUGAUGAAUAAGCCCCGGCUAAUUAUGUGCCAGCAGCCGCGGUAAGACAUAAGGGGCAAGUGUUAUCCGGAAUUAUUGGGCGUAAAGGGUGCGUAGGCGGUCUAGUAAGUCAGUGGUGUAAUGGCAACGCUUAACGUUGUCCGGCUAUUGAAACUGCUAAACUUGAGUUAGAUAGAGGCGAGUGGAAUUCCAUGUGUAGCGGUAAAAUGCGUAAAUAUAUGGAGGAACACCAGAGGCGUAGGCGGCUCGCUGGGUCUUAACUGACGCUGAGGCACGAAAGCGUGGGGAGCAAACAGGAUUAGAUACCCUGGUAGUCCACGCCGUAAACGAUGAGUACUAAGUGUCGGGUUAAACCGGUACUGAAGUUAACACAUUAAGUACUCCGCCUGAGUAGUACGUACGCAAGUAUGAAACUUAAAGGAAUUGACGGGACUCCGCACAAGCGGUGGAUCAUGUUGUUUAAUUCGAAGAUACCCGAAAAACCUUACCAGGUCUUGACAUGUUUUUGCAAAAUGAUAGUAAUAUCGUGGAGGUUACCAGAAACACAGGUGGUGCAUGGUUGUCGUCAGCUCGUGUCGUGAGAUGUUAGGUUAAGUCCUAAAACGAGCGAAACCCUUAUCGUUAGUUGCCAGCACGUUAUGGUGGGGACUUUAACGAGACUGCCAAUGAUAAAUUGGAGGAAGGUGAGGAUCACGUCAAAUCAGCAUGCCCCUUAUGACCUGGGCUACAAACGUGAUACAAUGGCUGUUACAAAGGGUAGCUGAAACGCAAGUUCUUGGCCAAUCCCCAAAAACAGUUCCAGUCCGGAUUGAAGUCUGCAACUCGACUUCAUGAAGUUGGAAUCGCUAGUAAUCGCGAAUCAGCAUGUCGCGGUGAAUACGUUCUCGGGGUUUGUACACACCGCCCGUCAAACCACGAAAGUUGGCAAUACCCCAAAACGGUAGCCUAACUCGUUUAUUCGAGAGGGCGCCGUCUAAGGUAGGGUCGAUGAUUGGGGUUAAG
This 1430-nucleotide ribosomal RNA is filed under the name Stylosanthes witches'-broom phytoplasma. Its description in RNAcentral is "bacterial SSU rRNA". It matches the Rfam family "Bacterial small subunit ribosomal RNA". Lineage: Bacteria; Bacillati; Mycoplasmatota; Mollicutes; Acholeplasmatales; Acholeplasmataceae. The record is from RNAcentral.